RNAcentral lists this long non-coding RNA (1271 nucleotides) under Equus asinus (donkey). RNAcentral's name for it is "lncRNA (ENSEASG00005030229.1, ENSEASG00020038893.1)". Lineage: Eukaryota; Metazoa; Chordata; Mammalia; Perissodactyla; Equidae. The record is from RNAcentral.
GUUUAGUAAUUAUCAAAAAUAUUUAAUAUAUUUAUAUUGUUUUAACUACUUGUAUAAUAAUAAUAACUGUCAUGAUAACUACAAAAAUGUCUUUUCAACUUAGAGGGAAUUAAAAAAAUUAAAAUCUAUGUAAGUAUUUUUGUUCGAGAGAUAUGAUAAGGUGAUCAGUAAAAGCCUGUUGAGCACGAACACUUCUACAUUAGAAAAUUUAUAUUGGGUAAAAUUCUAGGGGAAGUGGAAAAAAAGUUCAGGAUGUAAAAAGGAACAAUGCUACUUUUCUGAUUGCUAAAGAAGGCUGAUUCAGGUAUUUUUAAAAACUGUGUGCUAAUCUCAAAAUUGCUAAUAUGAGAUCAUACUAUACUAGUUAUUUAUAACAAUAUUUUUCCUUAUGUAGUGAUUUUUAAAAAGUUGCUUAUGUUCUGAGCAUUCAUAUUCUGGCUCUGCCACUCACUAAUGAUGAGUGCUUGGGCAUGUCACUUAAUUUUUCAGGGCCUUGGUUGUUCCCUCUAUAAAAUGAGAAAGUUGAACUAGAUCAUUUGCAGGUGACCUUAUAUCUCUAAUACUCUAUACCUCUGUGACUAAAGACUCAGAAAUAUUCCUUUAGAUGACUGAAAACAGUAUCUAAAAAUGCAUUUCUUUUCUUUUUCCUUCCUCUCAUUUUCCUUCUUCCCUCCCUCUUGUCCUUCCUUCCUCCCAAUAUCACUAGGGCCCUGUGCCAUGGCAAAGAUUGUAUUUUUUGAGGGAUUUGCUGAAAUCGGUCUCAUUAAUUAUCAAUUAAUUACAGUAAUUCAAUGGCUUCCCUUAACCAAAAAUAAUCAAACUAUUCAUGACAUCAUUUUCCCUAGUACUUGAAAUCUGAAAAGUAUACAAUGAAGAUAAUAUUUUCUAAAAUAAAAAGAUCAUAUUGCAUGAUCCUAUUUCCUCCUUCUAAGUUAGAAUCUUAAAAUAGCUCAUCAGAAAUAAAGCUCUUUGGAACAGAUAGAUUCACUGGAAAGUCUGCAAUUGUUGAAGAACAUGUAUGUGAGGUCCACUAGCACUGUCUUAUUCUGUUUUGAAAACAAGGCAAGAUGUAAUUUACAAACAGUGCCAUUUUGGUUUUAAAUAGUUCUGUUCUGGUAAUGGAAUGUUGUGGUUUUUCAUAUUUCGUAUGUAAUGAGCAGUGAGAAAAGGUCUUGAAAUCUUAGUGCUGGGCUUUUCUUUCUUGCUCCACUUCCAGGUAGUCAGAUGCAUCCAUGUUGACUUGUGGAGACUGAGACUGUUAGAUCAGGGAU